UGCCCAGCAAGUCAUCUCUUCCCUACUCC
This 29-nucleotide non-coding RNA is filed under the name Mus musculus (house mouse). Lineage: Eukaryota; Metazoa; Chordata; Mammalia; Rodentia; Muridae. The record is from RNAcentral.